UACGGGGGGUGCAAGCGUUGUUCGGAAUUAUUGGGCGUAAAGAGCGUGUAGGCGGCGGAAUAAGUCAGAUGUGAAAGCCCUGGGCUUAACCCAGGAAGUGCAUUUGAUACUGUUUUGCUUGAGUACUGGAGAGGGAAGAGGAAUUCCUGGUGUAGAGGUGAAAUACGUAGAGAUUGGGAAGAACACCAGUGGCGAAGGCGGAGACCUGGGCUGAUACUGACGCUGAGGUGCGAAAGCGUGGGGAGCAAACAGGAUUAGAAACCCC
Molecule: ribosomal RNA, 265 nt
Filed under: uncultured bacterium
Lineage: Bacteria
Description: partial 16S ribosomal RNA
Rfam family: Bacterial small subunit ribosomal RNA
Source: RNAcentral